UACCAGCACCCCGAGUGGUCGGGACGAUUAUUGGGCCUAAAGCAUCCGUAGCCGGUCCUGCAAGUCUUCCGUUAAACCCAACUGCUUAACAGAUGGGCUGCGGAGGAUACUAUAAGACUAGGAGGCAGGAGAGGCAAGCGGUACUCAGUGGGUAGGGGUAAAAUCCGUUGAUCCAUUGAAGACCACCAGUGGCGAAGGCGGCUUGCCAGAAUGCGCUCGACGGUGAGGGAUGAAAGCUGGGGGAGCAAACCGG
This 253-nucleotide ribosomal RNA is filed under the name uncultured bacterium. RNAcentral describes it as "partial 16S ribosomal RNA". It matches the Rfam family "Archaeal small subunit ribosomal RNA", at positions 474 to 727 of the family's 1478-position model. The record is from RNAcentral.